AGAGUUUGAUUAUGGCUCAGGAUGAACGCUAGCGAUAGGCCUAACACAUGCAAGUCGAGGGGCAGCACAUGAAGUAGCAAUACGGAUGGUGGCGACCGGCGCACGGGUGAGUAACGCGUAUGCAACCUGCCUACAACAGGGGAAUAACCCGUUGAAAGACGGACUAAUACCCCAUAACACAGGGAUCCCGCAUGGGAAUAUUUGUUAAAGAUUUAUCGGUUGUAGAUGGGCAUGCGUUCCAUUAGCUGGUUGGUGAGGUAACGGCUCACCAAGGCAACGAUGGAUAGGGGAACUGAGAGGUUUAUCCCCCACACUGGUACUGAGACACGGACCAGACUCCUACGGGAGGCAGCAGUGAGGAAUAUUGGUCAAUGGACGCAAGUCUGAACCAGCCACGUCGCGUGAAGGAAGACGGCCCUACGGGUUGUAAACUUCUUUUGUAAGGGAAUAAAGUGCAGUACGUGUACUGUUUUGCAUGUACCUUACGAAUAAGGAUCGGCUAACUCCGUGCCAGCAGCCGCGGUAAUACGGAGGAUCCGAGCGUUAUCCGGAUUUAUUGGGUUUAAAGGGUGCGCAGGCGGGAGAUUAAGUCGGCGGUGAAAUUUUGCAGCUCAACUGUAAAAGUGCCUUCGAAACUGGUUUUCUUGAGUGUGGAUGAAGUAGGCGGAAUUUGUGGUGUAGCGGUGAAAUGCAUAGAUAUCACGAGGAACUCCGAUUGCGCAGGCAGCUUACUAAACCAUAACUGACGCUCAGGCACGAAGGCGUGGGGAUCAAACAGGGAUUAGAUACCCUGGUAGUC
This 799-nucleotide ribosomal RNA is filed under the name uncultured Proteiniphilum sp. RNAcentral's name for it is "bacterial SSU rRNA". It matches the Rfam family "Bacterial small subunit ribosomal RNA", at positions 8 to 795 of the family's 1533-position model. The record is from RNAcentral. Lineage: Bacteria; Pseudomonadati; Bacteroidota; Bacteroidia; Bacteroidales; Dysgonomonadaceae.